AGAGCGAACGCUGGCGGCAGGCUUAACACAUGCAAGUCGAGCGCCCCGCAAGGGGAGCGGCAGACGGGAGAGUAACACGUGGGAACGUACCUUUCGGUUCGGAACAACCCAGGGAAACUUGGGCUAAUACCGGAUACGCCCGCAAGGGGAAAGAUUUAUCGCCGGAAGAUCGGCCCGCGUCUGAUUAGCUAGUUGGUGAGGUAACGGCUCACCAAGGCGACGAUCAGUAGCUGGUCUGAGAGGAUGAUCAGCCUCACUGGGACUGAGACACGGCCCAGACUCCUACGGGAGGCAGCAGUGGGGAAUAUUGGACAAUGGGCGCAAGCCUGAUCCAGCCAUGCCGCGUGGGUGAUGAAGGCCCUAGGGUUGUAAAGCCCUUUCGGCGGGGAAGAUAAUGACGGUACCCGCAGAAGAAGCCCGGCUAACUUCGCGCCAGCAGCCGC
Molecule: ribosomal RNA, 443 nt
Filed under: uncultured bacterium
Lineage: Bacteria
Description: SSU rRNA
Rfam family: Bacterial small subunit ribosomal RNA
Source: RNAcentral